This 484-nucleotide ribosomal RNA is filed under the name uncultured bacterium. RNAcentral's name for it is "partial 16S ribosomal RNA". It matches the Rfam family "Bacterial small subunit ribosomal RNA", at positions 28 to 523 of the family's 1533-position model. The record is from RNAcentral.
GACGAACGCUGGCGGCGUGCUUAACACAUGCAAGUCGAACGAUGAAGCCGGAGCUUGCUCUGGUGAAUUAGUGGCGAACGGGUGAGUAACACGUGAGUAACCUGCCCUUGACUCUGGGAUAACUGCUAGAAAUGGUAGCUAAUACCGGAUACGACCCUCGGAGGCAUCUUCAGGGGGUGGAAAGAAUUUCGGUCAAGGAUGGACUCGCAGCCUAUCAGCUAGUUGGUGAGGGAAUGGCUCACCAAGGCGACGACGGGUAGCCGGCCUGAGAGGGUGACCGGCCACACGGGGACUGAGCCACGGCACAGACUCCUACGGGAGGCAGCAGUGGGGAAUAUUGCACAAUGGGCGCAAGCCUGAUGCGGCAACGCCGCGUGGGGGAUGUCAGCCUGCGGGUUGUAAACCUCUUUUAGUAGGGAAGAAGCGAAAGUGACGGUACCUGCAGAAAAAGCACCGGCUAACUACGUGCCAGCAGCCGCCGUAA